Molecule: non-coding RNA, 39 nt
Filed under: Echinostoma caproni
Lineage: Eukaryota; Metazoa; Platyhelminthes; Trematoda; Plagiorchiida; Echinostomatidae
Source: RNAcentral
CUGCUGACGAGUCCAAAACAGGACGAAACAGCUGUCCAG